CUACGGGACGCACCAGUCGAGAAUCUUCCGCAAUGGGCGCAAGCCUGACGGAGCAAUGCCGCGUGAGGGAUGACGGCCCUAGGGUUGUAAACCUCUGUCAGAAGGGACGAAGAACGUGACGGUACCUUCAGAGGAAGCCAUGGCUAACUACGUGCCAGCAGCCGCGGUAAUACGUAGAUGGCGAGCGUUAUUCGGAUUUACUGGGCGUAAAGGGUCCGUAGGGGGUCUGCCAAGUCUGAUGUGAAAUCCUGCGGCUCAACCGCGGAACUGCAUUGGAAACUGGCGGACUGGAGUGUGCGAGGGGUGAGCGGAAUUCCUGGUGUAGCGGUGGAAUGCGUAGAUAUCAGGAAGAGCACCGAUGGCGAAGGCGGCUCACUGGCGCAUCACUGACCCUGAGGGGCGAAAGCGUGGGUAGCAAACAGGAUUAGAUACCCCCGUAGUC
RNAcentral lists this ribosomal RNA (442 nucleotides) under uncultured bacterium. Its description in RNAcentral is "partial 16S ribosomal RNA". It matches the Rfam family "Bacterial small subunit ribosomal RNA", at positions 339 to 795 of the family's 1533-position model. The record is from RNAcentral.